RNAcentral lists this long non-coding RNA (2105 nucleotides) under Vigna radiata. RNAcentral's name for it is "long non-coding RNA (VRAD_LNC012700)". The record is from RNAcentral. Lineage: Eukaryota; Viridiplantae; Streptophyta; Magnoliopsida; Fabales; Fabaceae.
AAGAAAACACAAAGUUUAUAUACUAGUUCAACCUCAAUGCCUACAUACAGUGUCCUUCCACAACCAAGAAGCAAAUGCACUAUAAUGGUCAAGGUUUUUACAACAAGGCUUUUAUAGAGACCUCCACGUCAAAAAUAUAAAACACCUCUCUAACCCUCUAACCAAAAUAUAGGCAGCAACACAAAGGUCUGCAACAAGAUAUAUCCCUCUUCUGCAAUCUUCAACCCACUUUGAACAAUCCUCACAAUGUCCAGAACACCACGAGUUCACCUCCUAUAAUCCCAACAGGACAACAACAAUCUUCCAAAGAUUGAUAGAACUUGAUCAAUAGAUGAACACCAAAUGUGCAGAACUUGAUCAACCAGUAAGCACAAAACUCUUCCUCCUAAAGAAACUCUUCAAAGAAAGAUCUCCUCCGUCUUCUUGAUGAGUUCUUGGAGCAAUCAAUCACAGGAUCACAAUCUGAAACAACAAAUGAAAAUGUUAGUUCAACCAAAGUCUAUAAAACAAAUGCUCCUGUAGUCGACUUUUCCACUAAUAAAGUCGACUGUCAUCAGACAAUUAUAACAGAUAUAUCAAUUAGCAACAUUCAUAACAACCAAAUUGAUUACACAUUUAAUUCAGUUGACUUGCAUUUAAUUCUUUAGCAAAGAUUUGAAAUAUAGCCGUUAUAACACAAAAACAUUAACAAAAUUUCAAAACAAAUAACUAACUAAGUCGAAUUCACUGCGCAUGCAAUUGACUUAGACACUUCAAAACAAUUUUGAAAAUCUUUUCAUCUCAAAAUAACUCACAACAUUGUUUUACAAAAUUUGUGCAAAGUCACGAGUUUUAAUUGACUUACUCCAUAAUGAAGUCGACUUAAAACUUGCAGAUUUGCCAUACAAUAUAAGUUCAAUAAAGUAAAUGUGGUUUUCUUUUUAGAAUCAUAUGUUAUGCAAUCACAAGAGAUGUAUCAGGUAUAAAAUCAAUGAAUAUGCAUACACAUAUAUGAAUGGAACAUGUUGUUGAGAUUGUUGACAACACAGACUCCAUAUCAAACUAGUUUUUGAUGAUGACAACACAAUGCUUAAUAACAGUACACAUGUUACAGCAUUACAUGUUCGUGCUCUAUUGAUUGUCAUAUCUGCUGACUGCUGAACAUGUUUUGUUGAAUUACAAUGUAUGUUCCUAUGAUUGAUUGAUGUGUUAUAUUUAUGGAACAUGCUUGUAUUGAAAUGUGGGAUAAAAUGAUUUUUGAUUAACUGCACAUUUCUGAAAGAAAAGAUCACAAACACCUUUAUGAACUUAUACUUGUUGUGACAAAGUUCUAGUUUAGUCGAAUACACUCAUAAUGGAUUCGACUAUGCUAAAAUCAUUGUGCAGACUUUGUGAACCUGUGCUGUGUGAGAUUUUGAGUUGAAAAGAAUUUCAAAGAGAUUUUUCAUGUGUCAGUCGACAGUGUGGAACACACAUUCGACUAUAUUACUGUUAUGUUUGGAAUUCUGUUAAGCCUACACACUCCAACGACUAUAUUUUUCAAAUGUUAGUUAAGAGUGAUUGACCAGGUCAACUAUCAUAAAUGUUUGUUGAUUUUGUUGACUGAGGAGCCUUUGAUAGCUCCGUCCAAGGUGCUAUGUUCAGAUCCGUGAGUUUUAGAUGAUGAAAAUGGUGGCAGCGGAAGAAAGUCUGGUUUACGAAGAUGUGAAGUGCAGCGACAGUAUAUUGAUGAUGGAAGAUGGGCUGGAUGAGGUGCUUUGAUGGAAUGAAACUAGCUCAGAAGGCCUUCACCUUUGGAAGGAAGCUAGAGGAGAAUUUGGGAGAAGCACAAGUGUGUGACCUUCGGUGGGAGAAGACGCUGGAAAAGGCAUCAGCAAAUCUAUUCUCUCAUAUAUUCAAAGGUGUCUCUACAAAGAGUAAGGAGGGAAAUUUAUAAUGUUAUCUCCCUCGUGGUAGAUGAAUCUAAACGAUGCCUAUUGCUACCAUCAUGCACAACUUAUCAUACACGUGCUGGAAGUUGUUGAAUCUAGAAGCUAAACGGAAAUGCAAGCUAACAAUGAAGAAAAGCUACCACGGUGUAUUUAGCAUAAAGGAGGGGUGCGCUAAGCACCCUUAGUCUUCUAUUU